Molecule: non-coding RNA, 188 nt
Filed under: Chryseobacterium oranimense G311
Lineage: Bacteria; Pseudomonadati; Bacteroidota; Flavobacteriia; Flavobacteriales; Weeksellaceae
Source: RNAcentral
CUAUCUUUGCCGCAAUCUGGUGCGCUGUAAAAAGCACUUAAAAGGGAAUCCGGUGAAAAUCCGGAACAGACCCGCUGCUGUAAGCUCCACAUCAAAGUUUUUGAAGAGUAUAUCCACUGUUUUUUUUAAUGGGAAGGAUUUCAAAAACGGAGUAAGUCAGAAGACCUGCCGGAGGAUGAACGUUUGAU